CGCCUCCGCGCAGGGGCCGCGCUGCCAGGGCCGGGGGAGCUCUGCUUGCCAGGCUGAACGCCAAGAGGGUACUCGUCGGGUGGCAGAGCUCACCUCCAGCCACAGAGUUCAGGCAACCUCCCGUCAUUUUGCAAUAACCUUUACAUGUUGCGGAGGGGGGGAAAAGUGGCAUAAAAGAGUCAAGCGUGUCAAAGUUCAGGAAAUCGUGCAAGAACUUUCCUAAGAUUCUCGAAGAAAGUACCGCUUCUCCUGAAGAACUAUUUUAUUUCUCAGAGCAGGGAAGGAGAGAUUUCUAGGAAAUGCAUAUUUUGAACCUAUGAUGGUUCUUUGGGUUAAAUGGGAACCAGGCUCUGAAUAGUUUAAUACUGACUUAUCAAUGAAAGAUGAUUUUUUUUUUUUUUCCAGAGAGAACAACCCGAUGUCUCAGAAAUCUUACGUCGUUCUUAGCCACUGUAUACAAAUUUUGGAGAGUUUCCUGGCAAAUUACAGCAGCAUCCUACAGCAAGCUGACAAAGAGAUUCCAGGAAUGCCACGCAUCUAGGAGGGAAACACGAAUCCGUCUCUUUAGCCUGAAGCACGAAAUUGGCUUAAAGCUCAUUUUGCAGAUAACCAGAAACGAAAUCACCAGUGCGUGGACCAGGAAGAAGCACGACUGCAGAGGAGGAAGGAACUUUUCACAUGGUAUCAGGAAAAUAGUAUUGCAUGUAGAGACUGGAGAGAAGAAACUGCACUCGGCAUAUGAGAAGCUGAUAACUGGGCUAUAGAGGGAAAGCUGGAUUUGAUUGGGCAACAGCAGGUAAAAAGGGCAGGGCACAGUGACACAGGGCUCAGCACAUGGGCAGAAGGCUUCAGGGUGGUAUAGAACAAAGCUGUGGAGGGUUUCAGAGACAGGCACAACAGCUGAAUGAUGUCAAAAGUGGUUUUGACCAGCCAGGUAAGAGUUCAGGUUAAGUGCUGAUGUGUCUAGGAAACUUCACUAAGGAAGAAGCUAAAAAUGAACAUGCUGCUCACUACAG
Molecule: long non-coding RNA, 1016 nt
Filed under: Corvus moneduloides (New Caledonian crow)
Lineage: Eukaryota; Metazoa; Chordata; Aves; Passeriformes; Corvidae
Description: lncRNA (ENSCMUG00000013154.2)
Source: RNAcentral